CCUACGGGCGGCAGCAGUGGGGAAUAUUGCACAAUGGGGGAAACCCUGAUGCAGCGACGCCGCGUGAGUGAAGAAGUAUUUCGGUACGUAAAGCUCUAUCAGCAGGGAAGAAAAUGACGGUACCUGACUAAGAAGCCCCGGCUAACUACGUGCCAGCAGCCGCGGUAAUACGUAGGGGGCAAGCGUUAUCCGGAUUUACUGGGUGUAAAGGGAGCGUAGACGGAAGCGCAAGUCUGGAGUGAAAUCCCAUGGCUUAACCAUGGAACUGCUUUGGAAACUGUGCAGCUAGAGUGCAGGAGAGGUAAGCGGAAUUCCUAGUGUAGCGGUGAAAUGCGUAGAUAUUAGGAGGAACACCAGUGGCGAAGGCGGCUUACUGGACUGUAACUGACGUUGAGGCUCGAAAGCGUGGGGAGCAAACAGGAUUAGAUACCCCAGUAGUC
This 440-nucleotide ribosomal RNA is filed under the name uncultured bacterium. RNAcentral describes it as "partial 16S ribosomal RNA". It matches the Rfam family "Bacterial small subunit ribosomal RNA", at positions 338 to 795 of the family's 1533-position model. The record is from RNAcentral.